Long non-coding RNA from Acinonyx jubatus (cheetah), 869 nucleotides. RefSeq lists it as uncharacterized. Lineage: Eukaryota; Metazoa; Chordata; Mammalia; Carnivora; Felidae. The record is from RefSeq and is a predicted model, not a curated record. The transcript has 3 exons.
AGGAAGAGUUUAAAGACAGAACAAGUCUGACUUGGCCUCUCAACCCCCAGAGGUCAGGAAGCUGAGGGAGCAGCGUGCGCUGCCCGGUCGCCCCUGUGGCAACACCCUGUGACCCUCAGAGCAAUGGGAGCAGUCCGCCCGGCCGCGGUGGCUUCCGAGAGCGCCCAAGCCGGCCUCACUCGCUCCUCCCCCGGACGUCGAGGGUACAAACUGGGAGCAGGAGAGGAAGCGACGCUGGCGGCGGGAGGCUGUGUGUCCCGAGGAGCGAGUGUGUGGGGAGCGAGCUCAGAAGCCGAGAGCGGCUGACGAGGCGCUGCCAGCCGACCAUCAGGGCGGCCAACUCGACGCCCCGGAACGGCUUCCGGCGGAAAGGACUCUCCGUUAGGCCGGGAUCCGAUCCUACCGGAAGAGUUUUACCCCUUCUUGCUUGCUGGCUGUGGUACUGAGGAAAAGCUAUGAUUGGAUGGAGUGUGCUUUUUUUCUAGAAGAUUCCAUGAAGCUUCCCAGCAACUCUUUCAUUUCCUCCUCGUUACUGUCUGGAACAUCCAGUUUUCUAUUAAAUACUUGGACUUUAUCCCCUGAGAUGUAUCUACUUAUCAAGACAAGUUCUGCAGGAGAAAUAUCUAAAUCAACCUCCAAUAUUAGUGGGACCAGAAAGUCUGAUGGAACGGAGGGAAAGUUGUAAACCUGAAGGCUCUACUGACUGGGCUGUGCUCCUCCACAGUUUCCUACCACCCAGAGCCGAGUACACCUUAACACAAGAAUUGAAACUGAACCAACAGUGGGUCAGGAAGUCCAGAUUUAGUGUACAUUCAUAAAUAUUUGUCACUGUUUGUAGAAAAAUAAAAAUAUGACCGAUUCUAAGUUAA